GGGCCGGCCGUCGAAGCACGUGGAGCACGCAAUUAGGAGCGCAGCGCAAUUAGUUGAUGGCAUACAGUGGGAGGCGCAUCUUGCUUCUGUGGUGAAUGAAGGUACAGCCCCGCACACGCUGGGGGAACCCACGCCAGGCUCCUUUUACAAUAAAAGCAACAACCUGGGGCCUGUUCUAGCAACCUGUGGGUAUUUUAUCAUUUAAAAGCCUGACUACUGGAGUUAUCAUCAGAUCUCCCACUUGAGCAGGAGCAGAAGCAGGGGCAGGAGCACCCCCCCACUGCGAGAGAGCCUGGUGCCUCCCGGGGCCGUGAUGACAGGCUGCAGGGGACAUCCCCGCAGAGCAGACUCCCCGCUCCCCAUUUAAGGGGAGCAAAACAGCGAUGUCACCACAUUGCCACCUCCUGUCCCCCCAGGGCAAAAUUGAAUCUAUCACCCUAAGAACCUGAAUUAACAUCUCAAAGGGCCCUGGACACCUGGGCUCCCUCUUCCCUGUAUGGCUGGGGCCCUGGAUGUCUGGGUUCCCUCAG
Molecule: long non-coding RNA, 530 nt
Organism: Alligator sinensis (Chinese alligator)
Lineage: Eukaryota; Metazoa; Chordata; Crocodylia; Alligatoridae
Exons: 3
Source: RefSeq, a predicted model, not a curated record